AGCGUCACAUCACUUGUUUUUGGAGUAAAACACGGUGGAAGCUGAAUUAGUGAGGAUGACUCCUGCUCCUGUCAUCUCUAAGCUCCUCACACAUCUUUACCUGCACAUGAGGAAAAUCACUGCUGUAGAAUGCAGAUGUUCAGAGGGAGAUGAUGCCACAUCUGGUCCAGCUGAUGGAAGGUCUUGAAGUUCUCUGACUGGCCUCGACUGAAGAUGGUCGUCUCACUGGAUUUAAGGUUCAGAUGCUCAGUAACAAACUCCACCAAUGAGCCAACAGGGAAGCUUUAGGUUUAUUAAAUGUUGCUAUGAAGGUUUCGCUGUUUUUCUUUGUGAAUGCAAUGUGCUCCAACUGAAACUUGAAUUAGAACUUAGAAGUAAAUCCUUCCAUCUGAAAGGAUUUAGUUGCAUUUAUAACACCCAUAAAUUGCACUACA
Molecule: long non-coding RNA, 434 nt
Organism: Amphiprion ocellaris (clown anemonefish)
Lineage: Eukaryota; Metazoa; Chordata; Actinopteri; Pomacentridae
Exons: 3
Source: RefSeq, a predicted model, not a curated record